GACGAACGCUGGCGGCGUGCUUAACACAUGCAAGUCGAACGGAAAGGCCCUGCUUUUGUGGGGUGCUCGAGUGGCGAACGGGUGAGUAACACGUGAGUAACCUGCCCUUGACUUUGGGAUAACUUCAGGAAACUGGGGCUAAUACCGGAUAGGAGCUCCUGCUGCAUGGUGGGGGUUGGAAAGUUUCGGCGGUUGGGGAUGGACUCGCGGCUUAUCAGCUUGUUGGUGGGGUAGUGGCUUACCAAGGCUUUGACGGGUAGCCGGCCUGAGAGGGUGACCGGCCACAUUGGGACUGAGAUACGGCCCAGACUCCUACGGGAGGCAGCAGUGGGGAAUAUUGCACAAUGGGCGGAAGCCUGAUGCAGCAACGCCGCGUGCGGGAUGACGGCCUUCGGGUUGUAAACCGCCUUCGCCUGUGACGAAGCGUGAGUGACGGUAAUGGGUAAAGAAGCACCGGCUAACUACGUGCCAGCAGCCGCGGUGAUACGUAGGGCGCGAGCGUUGUCCGGAUUUAUUGGGCGUAAAGGGCUCGUAGGUGGUUGAUCGCGUCGGAAGUGUAAUCUUGGGGCUUAACCCUGAGCGUGCUUUCGAUACGGGUUGACUUGAGGAAGGUAGGGGAGAAUGGAAUUCCUGGUGGAGCGGUGGAAUGCGCAGAUAUCAGGAGGAACACCAGUGGCGAAGGCGGUUCUCUGGGCCUUUCCUGACGCUGAGGAGCGAAAGCGUGGGGAGCGAACAGGCUUAGAUACCCUGGUAGUCCACGCUGUAAACGGUGGGUACUAGGCGUGGGGUCCAUUCCACGGGUUCCGUGCCGUAGCUAACGCUUUAAGUACCCCGCCUGGGGAGUACGGCCGCAAGGCUAAAACUCAAAGGAAUUGACGGGGCCCCGCACAAGCGGCGGAGCAUGCGGAUUAAUUCGAUGCAACGCGUAGAACCUUACCUGGGUUUGACAUGGAUCGGGAGUGCUCAGAGAUGGGUGUGCCUCUUUUGGGGUCGGUUCACAGGUGGUGCAUGGCUGUCGUCAGCUCGUGUCGUGAGAUGUUGGGUUAAGUCCCGCAACGAGCGCAACCCUUGUUCACUGUUGCCAGCACGUUAUGGUGGGGACUCAGUGGAGACCGCCGGGGUCAACUCGGAGGAAGGUGGGGAUGACGUCAAGUCAUCAUGCCCCUUAUGUCCAGGGCUUCACGCAUGCUACAAUGGCUGGUACAGAGAGUGGCGAGCCUGUGAGGGUGAGCGAAUCUCGGAAAGCCGGUCUCAGUUCGGAUUGGGGUCUGCAACUCGACCUCAUGAAGUCGGAGUCGCUAGUAAUCGCAGAUCAGCAACGCUGCGGUGAAUACGUUCCCGGG
This 1343-nucleotide ribosomal RNA is filed under the name uncultured bacterium. RNAcentral's name for it is "16S ribosomal RNA". It matches the Rfam family "Bacterial small subunit ribosomal RNA", at positions 28 to 1378 of the family's 1533-position model. The record is from RNAcentral.